GACGAACGCUGGCGGCGUGCUUAACACAUGCAAGUCGAACGGAAAGGCCCUGCUUGCGGGGUACUCGAGUGGCGAACGGGUGAGUAACACGUGGGUGAUCUGCCCUGCACUUCGGGAUAAGCUUGGGAAACUGGGUCUAAUACCGGAUAGGAACCAUCUUUAGUGUGGUGGUUGGAAAGUUUUUUCGGUGUAGGAUGAGCUCGCGGCCUAUCAGCUUGUUGGUGGGGUAAUGGCCUACCAAGGCGGCGACGGGUAGCCGGCCUGAGAGGGUGUACGGCCACAUUGGGACUGAGAUACGGCCCAGACUCCUACGGGAGGCAGCAAUGGGGAAUAUUGCACAAUGGGCGCAAGCCUGAUGCAGCGACGCCGCGUGGGGGAUGAAGGCCUUCGGGUUGUAAACUCCUUUCGCUAGGGACGAAGCUUUGUUGUGACGGUACCUAGAUAAGAAGCACCGGCUAACUACGUG
This 466-nucleotide ribosomal RNA is filed under the name uncultured bacterium. Its description in RNAcentral is "partial 16S ribosomal RNA". It matches the Rfam family "Bacterial small subunit ribosomal RNA", at positions 28 to 507 of the family's 1533-position model. The record is from RNAcentral.